AUGGGGUGCAGCAGGCGCGAAACCUCCGCAAUGCGGGCAACCGCGACGGGGGGACCCCCAGUGCCGUGGCAUAGCCACGGCUUUUCCGGAGUGUAAAAAGCUCCGGGAAUAAGGGCUGGGCAAGGCCGGUGGCAGCCGCCGCGGUAAUACCGGCGGCCCAAGUGGUGGCCGCUAUUAUUGGGCCUAAAGCGUCCGUAGCCGGGCCCGUAAGUCCCUGGCGAAAUCCCACGGCUCAACCGUGGGGCUUGCUGGGGAUACUGCGGACCUUGGGACCGGGAGAGGCCGGGGGUACCCCUGGGGUAGGGGUGAAAUCCUAUAAUCCCAGGGGGACCGCCAGUGGCGAAGGCGCCCGGCUGGAACGGGUCCGACGGUGAGGGACGAAGGCCAGGGGAGCGAACCGGAUUAGAUACCCGGGUAGUCCUGGCUGUAAAGGAUGCGGGCUAGGUGUCGGGCGAGCUUCGAGCUCGCCCGGUGCCGGAGGGAAGCCGUUAAGCCCGCCGCCUGGGGAGUACGGCCGCAAGGCUGAAACUUAAAGGAAUUGGCGGGGGAGCAC
This 553-nucleotide ribosomal RNA is filed under the name uncultured euryarchaeote. Its description in RNAcentral is "bacterial SSU rRNA". It matches the Rfam family "Archaeal small subunit ribosomal RNA", at positions 325 to 879 of the family's 1478-position model. Lineage: Archaea; Methanobacteriati; Methanobacteriota. The record is from RNAcentral.